AUGGUGGUUACUCAUGUGCAGGACAUACAGGAGGUGAAAUAUGCAGAUGCAGAUGGUGGUUACUCAUGUGCAGGACAUACAGGAGGUGAAAUAUGCAGAUGCAGAUGGUGGUUACUCAUGUGCAGGACAUACAGGAGGUGAAAUAUGCAGAUGCAGAUGGUGGUUACUCAUGUGCAGGACAUACAGGAGGUGAAAUAUGCAGAUGCAGAUGGGGGUUACUCAUGUGCAGGACAUAGUCUUCUUUUGAACUGUUCGUCCCAGACACAAUGCACAAAGUCAUUCUGGACUGCACUAAUUUGGAGGGAAGGCGUG
This is a long non-coding RNA of Oncorhynchus tshawytscha (Chinook salmon), 312 nucleotides long. The record is from Ensembl. NCBI's taxonomy places the organism in Eukaryota, Metazoa, Chordata, Actinopteri, Salmoniformes, Salmonidae.